UGAUGAUGAUAAGGAAAAUUCUUAAGUAUGCCCUUAAAUCUCUCCCAAGCUUGGUAGAGAUUUUAUCCUUUUUUCUGCGUAAAACUCAGAAUAUCACUUCUCAAAUG
Non-coding RNA from Capsicum annuum, 107 nucleotides. Lineage: Eukaryota; Viridiplantae; Streptophyta; Magnoliopsida; Solanales; Solanaceae. The record is from Rfam.